CAGCAGCCGCCGCGGGAAUACGAAGGGUGCAAGCGUUAAUCGGAAUUACUGGGCGUAAAGCGUGCGUAGGCGGUGAGUUAAGUCUGCUGUGAAAUCCCCGGGCUCAACCUGGGAAUGGCAGUGGAUACUGGCUCGCUAGAGUGUGUCAGAGGAUGGUGGAAUUCUCGGUGUAGCGGUGAAAUGCGUAGAGAUCUGGAGGAAUACCGGUGGCGAAGGCGGCCCCCUGGACAAAGACUGACGCUCAGGUGCGAAAGCGUGGGGAGCAAACAGGAUUAGAGACCCCCGUAGUCCCUGUCUCUUAUAC
This 304-nucleotide ribosomal RNA is filed under the name uncultured bacterium. Its description in RNAcentral is "partial 16S ribosomal RNA". It matches the Rfam family "Bacterial small subunit ribosomal RNA", at positions 506 to 807 of the family's 1533-position model. The record is from RNAcentral.